Long non-coding RNA from Labeo rohita (rohu), 2762 nucleotides. RefSeq lists it as uncharacterized. The record is from RefSeq and is a predicted model, not a curated record. NCBI's taxonomy places the organism in Eukaryota, Metazoa, Chordata, Actinopteri, Cypriniformes, Cyprinidae. The transcript is spliced from 3 exons.
UGUGUCAAUAUACACAUAUCAAAACGUGCCUAACAAAUAUGGCAAUAUUUGUCUGUACUAAACACUAAAAAGGGACUCUUCCUAUACCUGAGCAGAGACUCUUAUUUUGAUUCGGGAAAAUCGCGUAUAUGGACACUGGCUGUAAGUAUUCAUAAAAGAGUAGGUGAGAAUUACCUGGGUGACGUACUAAUUCUCGCGAGAUUCGGUCGUGCGUCUACUUAAAAUGCGUCCGAAAUCGCCUACUUCUCUACUAUAUAGUAGGGAAAAGCAGAAUGCGAUCGAAUAAGUAUGUCCGAAAAGUAUUCAUAAAAGAGUAGUCGAGAAGUUCCCGGAUGGCCUACUGCUUCUUCCCAGAUUCUUGAGUGCUCAUCCGAUGGAUACUUUUCUAUCCCAGGAAGCCACGCGUGCGGAUAAACCAUGAAGAAGAAGAGGAUACGUCAUAAUCGAACAUGGCGGAAAAUUUGAGUGAGGGUGUUUACAAAUGUGAGUAUUACAAACCAAAAACACGUUCCUUAUUUUACAUUUGCAUUUCUUGAACUACUGUAGAACAAAUUGUAAAGUUGUGAUUUUGCUGUAAAAAGAUGUUUUAUUAUGUAUAUUGUUAAAAGUAGAACUCCAGGAUACACCUGUACGUCUCCAAAGUGGAUUUACAUACAUUUUAAACCGUAUACAUCUAAAAUACGAUUACCAAAUGUCUAUUUAAUAUCUGGUAGGUAAAUGUUCGAUAUGAGUUUCAUACGAGUUUGUCUAAUAGGUCCUAGUUAUGAAGUAGACAUUUGAGUGAUGUACGUUGUAUGUGUGCUAUUGUGUAGUACAAUUAACUAUUGUUAGCAGUAUUUGCAAUAGAUGGAUGUAAGUAAUAUAAAUACAUUUCCAUAAAGUACCUACAUAUAAGUAAUCUAUUUUUUUUUUCACCAUUAGAACUGUUGAAAAUUUCAGAAACAUGUGUUGGAUAAAAAGCUACUUAACAUGUCAUCAUGUAAAUGUAGUUUUGAGCACACAAAUCUCAGAGGUAACGUGAAUCUUGUGUGGAUUUUACAGGGACAGAUGAGCACACACGUCUGCUUAUACGGUGGAGAGCAGCUAACAAAGCCCUCUUCACCAGAAGGCGGAAUGCUGCCGUCAAAGGCUUUGAAGCUUUUGUGGAGGAGCAGGGCCUUCAAGGCAGAGUGACGGCAGCAUUUGUAAAACAAAAAAAAAAAAUGGGAAAACCUCAAACAGAAAUAUAAAGAACUGAAAUGUCCAAAGACCGGUGUUAACACUGAGGAUGGAGAGCCCACAGCAGCAUCUUGGAAAUGGUAUAGUGCCAUGGAUGAGGCAAUUGGGGGCAGACCCUCCAUCACUUUACCUGCCCUUAUUGCCUCAUCUGGCCCAGAUGUUGCUGUGUGUUCUUCAUCCUCAGUGAGCCCAGAGCCAGCGAGGGCUACACGGAAAAGGCCAAAACAUCUGGAGGACAUUAUGAAAGAGAUGGAGGAGAGGGAAGCGGAGCGAGAGCAGGAAGCUGCCGAGAGAGAGGGGAGACGAUGGAAAGAAAUAGAAGAGAAGGAGGACAGAAGAGAACGAGAGAGACAAGUAAGGCAGGAAAGACAAGAAAGAGAAGCAGAAGAAAGAGAAGAGAGAUGGCAACGAGAAGUGAGAGAGAGAGGAAAGGAGAGAGAGGGAGACAAGGGAAAGGGAUGAAAGGUUCCUUUCCCUCCUUGAAAUUCUUGCAAAAAAAUAAAUAAUGGAGACAAAAGCAUCUUCUAUUCAUUUACACAUUUAUGUUUGUGUAAUAAGAACAAACAUAUUUUCAAAUACAAUUAAAUAUAUGCACAGUAGUCAGCAUUUGAAGUGCUUCAAAACCUUUCAUCAAAGUUGUCCUAAAACCAAAACCAUACCCGUUCUUGUCUUAGAACAACUUUGUAUGUUUUAUGUAUAUGUGUGUGUGUACUGUGCAAAAAUCAUAAGGAACAACCAGCUCUGAUUUAGCAAUGCUUUAAUGACAAUCAAUGUUUGGCUCUCUUCAUUAAGAUAAAAACAGAAAAUCAACAAAAUAUAUGGACAAAUAAAAAAAAAAAAUUGAACAAAACGUCUUCUUUAAGCAACAUCAAGAAAGUGUCAAACAAGAAACCCUGGGAAGCUUAUCACAUUACGUUUUCUUGGACUUCCAGUGAAAGUCAGGUUCCUUCUGUUGCUCAAGUGUAAAGGCGGUCACACUAAGUUCUUGGCACAUAUGGCCAUUAUACUAUUGCUACAUCAUCAUUAAAUGGUGGCUUAAGACUUUUGCACAAUACUAUGUAUAUAAAACUAUCUCUAGGAAUUUACAGUAUAAUAUAGACUUCUAGAUAUUUACUGAUAACUUUCAUUAAUUUAAAUACUUAUGAAGUGUUUUCCUGUUGUAGUAACAGUGGGAGUUAAUUGUUGGUGGUUUUAUGCGGAUAUGAGACCCGUCUAUUGCACCAACCGCCCUGCUGAAAGCUGGUGACCCAGCCAGCUGUGCAAAUCCGGCUCCCACUGCCUCCAGGUCAUCACCGGUUGGAAAGCAAAUCACCCUCCUCAAAAUUCCCAUGAUUGCCUGGCUCACUCUAUGCACAAUGUCAUGCACAGCCAGUAGAGGAAGACAAGCACCUCAAUGUCUGUCUCCCAUCCAUGGUCAGAUUCCAGUCUGAGUGCACCAAUGAGGGACAUGAUGGACGGCAAAGACAGGUGAAGGUGGGCACGGUGGUCAGCUGCUUCAUUAAAAUAGAGCCGCAGAAUUGACACAGCUCUAUUCAGGUGGCAGU